This 2234-nucleotide long non-coding RNA is filed under the name Vigna radiata. RNAcentral describes it as "long non-coding RNA (VRAD_LNC009420)". The record is from RNAcentral. Lineage: Eukaryota; Viridiplantae; Streptophyta; Magnoliopsida; Fabales; Fabaceae.
GUAAUUCCCUUAUGGCAGAAGACAGAAGGUUCUAAAAAAGACUGAUUCUUUGUUGUGUUUGAUUACUUAAAAAAGUUGUGUAUGACUAAAGCUGAAGUGGUUUGAGAGCAGAAUUUGAAUUGCUGCUGCUUUAUUACUAUUACUUAUUGCAAACACAAGAACGGGCACGAUACAAAAAUUCCACGAUAAAUAGAAAAGCAAUCAUACACGGCCAUAUUAAUCUAUGAACAAAUAAAUUAAAGAGAUGACUAAGAGUGGACUGUACUUUUAACUUGGCAUUUACACUUUAAAUCUCUCUUCCUUGUUUUGAUUUGUCCGUCACUUGAACACAAUAAGAUCAGGACGUGCAAGAUGGCCAUCAAACAAAUAGAAUCAAGCGGGUCUGAAUCACAGAUAUUGUAGCUCGGAGAUGACACCUUCAGACUUUUAUUCAAAGAACUUGGAUAGGAAGAUAGAUAUUUCACUUCACUCCAAAUGGAGCUUGCAUUUAUUCCUCGAAGAAAACUACAACCUGAAAAUGAAUUCCAUAGAAAUUUCCAUUACUAAAGUUCAUUCAUGUAUAUAUAAUUCUGAUUUUACUUUUGAAAAUGUAUAAGGUUGGUUAACUUACAUGAUUUAUCGUGAAUGGUGCUUCCGCAGUCUGAGCUUACUUGUAGAUAGGUGGAGGUGGGGAAGCAUAGACGUAAGCUGGAGGCGGAGGUGAUUUGUAAAUGUACUUUGGAGCGGGAGCUGGGGAGGGAGGAGGUGGUGAUUUGUAAUGGUAUGGUGGAGGUGGAGAUGGAGAAGGUGGUGGAGGGCUCACGUAGUGGUAAGGAGGUGAAGGAUACGACGUUGGUGGUGGAGGGGAUUUGUAGUAGUAGGGAUGAUGAGGAGUGGGAGAUGGUGGAGGAGGACUUUUAUAGUAAUAAGGAGGUGGUGGAGAUGGGGACGGGGGUGGAGGGGAUUUGUAGUAAUAUGGAGGUGGUGGUGAUGGGGAUGGUGGUGGUGGUGAGUGGUAGUAGUAGGGAGGGUGUGUGCUCUCUUUAGGUGGAGGUGGGGAGUGAUAGUAGUAAGGUGGUGGAGGGGAUGGUGAAGGUGGUGGGGGAGAUUUAUAGUAGUAUGGAGGAGGAGGGGAUGGUGAAGGUGGGGGUGGAGAUUUAUAGUAGUACGGAGGGGGAGGAGAGGGUGAUGGUGGAGGUGGAGAUUUAUAGUAGUACGGAGGGGGAGGAGAGGGUGAUGGUGGAGGUGGAGAUUUAUAGUAGUAUGGAGGCUUAUAAACCGGUGAGGGUGGAGGUGGGGAGUGGUAGUAGUAUGGAGGGGGAGGUGAGGGGGAUGGUGGAGGGGGAGAGUGGUAGUAGUAUGGAGGGGGAGGUGAAGGGGAUGGUGGAGGUGGAGAGUGGUAGUAGUAUGGAGGUUUAGGCUUUGGUGAUGGUGGGGGUGGAGAUUGGUAGUAGUAUGGAGGCUUUGGCACCGGUGAUGGUGGAGGUGGAGAGUGGUAGUAGUAUGGAGGUGGAGGAGAGGGAGAUGGAGGAGGUGGAGAGUGGUAGUAGUAUGGAGGCUUAGGUUUUGGUGAUGGAGGGGGUGGUGAUUGGUAGUAGUAAGGAGGCUUUGGCACCGGUGAUGGUGGAGGUGGAGAGUGGUAGUAGUACGGAGGCUUAGGUUUUGGUGAUGGGGGAGGUGGAGAUUGGUAGUAGUAUGGAGGCUUUGGUACUGGUGAUGGAGGAGGUGGAGAGUGGUAGUAGUAUGGAGGUUGAGGUUUUGGUGAUGGUGGAGGUGGAGACUUAUAAUAAUAGGGAGGUGACUUGACGGGUGGUGGUGGUGACUUGUAAACAUAAGUUGGUGAUGGUGGUGGUGGUGAUUUGUAUACGUAAACUGGAGAGGGAGGAGGAGGUGAGUUGUAAUAGUAUGGUGUUGGUGAAGGCUUAUAAGGCUUCUUGUCACAGUCCUUGAAGUGCUUCUUUGAAGCAUAAGCAAAUGGCUUAGCCUUGAGCACAACUUCAUAUUUAUCUUUUGAUUUCACCUUCAAUGGAGUUCCCUCGUUCAGCUUGGUAGGUAUGUUGAAGGGAGAGUCCUUAGGUGGAGCAUGAAGGUGGGCCUUGCAGACUACUGAUCCAUAUUUCACAUAGUCAAAGUCCUUAACUGUGAUACUGUAUUUUCCAUUGCUCUUAGUUUCACCAUAAGCCUUUAUGAUGUUUCUUCCUGCUUUGCAUUUAACCUCCACAAUAGCACCUACAUUUACCCAAAAUGCUUCAUUA